UACGAAGGGGGCGAGCGUUGUUCGGAUUUACUGGGCGUAAAGGGCGCGUAGGCGGCCGAUCAAGUCGGGGGUGAAAGCCUGUGGCUCAACCACAGAAUUGCCUUCGAUACUGUUUGGCUUGAGACCGGAAGAGGUAAGUGGAACUGCGAGUGUAGAGGUGAAAUUCGUAGAUAUUCGCAAGAACACCAGUGGCGAAGGCGGCUUACUGGUCCGGUUCUGACGCUGAGACGCGAAAGCGUGGGGAGCGAACAGG
This 253-nucleotide ribosomal RNA is filed under the name uncultured bacterium. Its description in RNAcentral is "partial 16S ribosomal RNA". It matches the Rfam family "Bacterial small subunit ribosomal RNA", at positions 524 to 776 of the family's 1533-position model. The record is from RNAcentral.